GCUAGCGGCAGGCCUAAUACAUGCAAGUCGAGGGGUAUGAUUUUGAGUUUACUUGAAAUCAGAGACCGGCGCACGGGUGCGUAACACGUAUGCAACCUACCCUUUACAGGGGGAUAGCUCAGAGAAAUCUGAAUUAAUACCCCAUAGUUACAUUUCGCUGCAUGGUGAGAUGUAUAAAGCUCCGGCGGUAAAGGAUGGGCAUGCGUUACAUUAGCUAGUUGGUGAGGUAAUGGCUCACCAAGGCUACGAUGUAUAGGGGUUCUGAGAGGAUGAUCCCCCACACUGGUACUGAGACACGGACCAGACUCCUACGGGAGGCAGCAGUAGGGAAUAUUGGACAAUGGACGCAAGUCUGAUCCAGCCAUGCCGCGUGCAGGAUGACAGCCCUCUGGGUUGUAAACUGCUUUUAUAUGAGAAGAAACCCUCAGAUGCGUUUGAGGCUGACGGUAUCAUAUGAAUAAGGAUCGGCUAACUUCGUGCCAGCAGCCGCGGUAAGACGAAGGAUCCAAGCGUUGUCCGGAUUUACUGGGUUUAAAGGAUGCGUAGGCGGACACUUAAGCCA
Molecule: ribosomal RNA, 562 nt
Filed under: uncultured Bacteroidota bacterium
Lineage: Bacteria; Pseudomonadati; Bacteroidota
Description: bacterial SSU rRNA
Rfam family: Bacterial small subunit ribosomal RNA
Source: RNAcentral